RNAcentral lists this ribosomal RNA (505 nucleotides) under uncultured bacterium. RNAcentral's name for it is "partial 16S ribosomal RNA". It matches the Rfam family "Bacterial small subunit ribosomal RNA", at positions 28 to 507 of the family's 1533-position model. The record is from RNAcentral.
GACGAACGCUGGCGGCGUGCCUAAUACAUGCAAGUAGAACGCACAGUUUAUACCGUAGCUUGCUACACCAUAGACUGUGAGUUGCGAACGGGUGAGUAACGCGUAGGUAACCUGCCUGGUAGCGGGGGAUAACUAUUGGAAACGAUAGCUAAUACCGCAUAAUAUUGAUUAUUGCAUGAUAAUUGAUUGAAAGAUGCUAUUGCAUCACUACCAGAUGGACCUGCGUUGUAUUAGCUAGUAGGUGAGGUAACGGCUCACCUAGGCGACGAUACAUAGCCGACCUGAGAGGGUGAUCGGCCACACUGGGACUGAGACACGGCCCAGACUCCUACGGGAGGCAGCAGUAGGGAAUCUUCGGCAAUGGACGAAAGUCUGACCGAGCAACGCCGCGUGAGUGAGGAAGGUUUUCGGAUCGUAAAGCUCUGUUGUAAGAGAAGAACGGGUGUGAGAGUGGAAAGUUCACACUGUGACGGUAUCUUACCAGAAAGGGACGGCUAACUACGUG